This is a long non-coding RNA of Cotesia glomerata, 835 nucleotides long. RefSeq lists it as uncharacterized. The record is from RefSeq and is a predicted model, not a curated record. Lineage: Eukaryota; Metazoa; Arthropoda; Insecta; Hymenoptera; Braconidae. The transcript is spliced from 2 exons.
UCAAGUGGUGGGGCGAGGCUGUGGUAAGGAUGUGUUAUUGUGUUAGAUACUCACGAACGAAAAGAGAUAGCUGUCAGUAGUCUGUCUAUAAGUGUCAGCUGCGGUUUUAUCGUUUUUAUACUCACAACUGUUUGGACUUGGGUCCGUCUUUUACAUUGGAUCUUUAACAUUUUUUUUUUUAAUUGUUGUUAAUGUAAGCGAUGGCUUAAAAUAAAACGUUCUUUUUUAUUUAUCAGUACAAUAUAAUAUAAUAUAUUAUCUGUACACAUAUAAAUAAAAAAUUUAAUAUCAACAAUAGUGGGGAAAGACGGUAUUGUUGGAUUGUUGGACAGUGAAUGCUGGUUGUCCUGGCAGCUGUUCUGGAGGCUGACUACGGCAUACAGUAUAGAUAACAGCUAAAGAAAAGCUAAGUGGAACUGAAAAACUCUGAAUUGCACGUAUAUUCGACGCCAUUACAACCGAAUAGCAUUUACCAUCUACCCAGCAUACCAUUCCUAAGUUAAACAAAGUGAAAUGUGUGAAUUUAAGAAUCACAAACUUAACUGAUGAAGGCGUUUCAUUUAUUAGUGUGAAACGUUUUUAGUUUUUAUCUUAUCAUCUGCAAAUUUAAGCAGAUUUAUUAUUUUACUCAAUCAUGCUUUUAUAUUGAUUUUAAAUUUUAAAUUUGUUUUAGUUUUAUUUAUUAUUUUAAAAGUGUUUUACAAUUUAUUUAUUAUAUACUCACAACUGUUUGGAUUUGAGUUCGUCUGAAGGAAAUUGAAAUUCAAAGUGUCUGAUUUAGUUAUUGGAACAAGGAAUAAAUUAUUGUCACCUGCAGCAUCAUUUUCAUCUUCAU